AUGGCCGCCUACGUUGCCGUAAUAUGUUUGUGGUGAAGGAAAAUCUGAUUGUACGCAUGUCUAGUCUAAGUUUUGAAGUUAACAGAUUGCUUGCUGUAUCGAUCUUUUUGUGACGGUAGACUGCGUUCUUGAAUGUCUUCACAGAACAGUGGCCUGGCAAAAGCGAAGUGUUACCAAUGCAUUGUUCAGCUUCAUGGAUGCUUUCAAGGACAUAAUCACUAAGACCACGGAGACUGGAAUAUACAUUAACCUGGAUGUUGGAGAAAGAGAACUGAACUGGCUCUGUGCUGCUUCCAUUGGCAAUCUUGAGUGCUAGCAAUACUCAAUGUUCUGCUUCCAGUACCACAGCAAGUGAGUGGCAUCUCUUUCUGAAGUCCUGUCACACAUAAAAUGUUUUGUCAGCAGGAUAAACUAACAUACUCCAUCUGCAGUACACCGCAGUACUUGGCCCCUAAAGCAAUGAGGGGACAGGGCACAGCAUGUAAUAAUGGCGGUUAGUGAAUGAGACUUCCUAAUAGGAGGGGUGUGUACUAUUUGCUGUCCUGGGCAGUAGUCCUGAGGGAUACUCUGGGGCAGGUCCUCUUGCUUGCAUUGUAGCCUGCUCGGGCUGGAAGAUGCAGCAAUUUUGUGAGUUCUCAUGCUGACGUUGACAUUUUGAAUUUAGCCAACUGCAGAAUCCUAUUAACAGUUUCUAAUACGCAAUCUCUGUGUUAACAAAUGCCCAUAUUUUCUUCAAUUUGUUACUUCAGAUCAUAGAAAAAGUGUAAUAAAAUUGGUUGUAACUGUAAAAGUAAUUAUGUACAUACAACAUUGUUAAGGGAAUUUAUAAUUUCGUUUAUGAUGUGAACUGGACUGAGCUGGCUCAGGACGAGGUUUGCUUCACGGAACACAAAAGAGACAAAUCUUAGGUUUUAACAGAAAACUGGAAUGUCUUGGCAAUUGUGACAAUUUGUCUGCCAUGUUUACUAUUGGCAAGUGACAAACUUGUUUUCCAAAAACACAAAAUAUGUCUUUCAGAUGAGAGAGAGAAAUAUCGCUUCAAUUAAUCUGAUAAGUCAGAGCGAUGAGGAAAUACUUUAAAAGCAGCUUGUACCACUCGUAGCAUACAAAUAAGUAUCGGCACUCAAAGCGUUCUGCCAUGACUUACUGCCAUACUGAAUUUCAUGUGCUCAGAUGCAGUUGAACACCAUUUAAUAGUUCCAUGAGCAUCAAUCAUUCUUCU
Non-coding RNA from Zootermopsis nevadensis, 1222 nucleotides. The record is from RefSeq and is a predicted model, not a curated record. NCBI's taxonomy places the organism in Eukaryota, Metazoa, Arthropoda, Insecta, Blattodea, Termopsidae.